GACGAACGCUGGCGGCGUGCUUAACACAUGCAAGUCGAACGAAGAGCGAUGGAAGCUUGCUUCUAUCAAUCUUAGUGGCGAACGGGUGAGUAACGCGUAAUCAACCUGCCCUUCAGAGGGGGACAACAGUUGGAAACGACUGCUAAUACCGCAUACGAUCUAAACUCGGCAUCGAGGAUAGAUGAAAGGUGGCCUCUACAUGUAAGCUAUCACUGAAGGAGGGGAUUGCGUCUGAUUAGCUAGUUGGAGGGGUAACGGCCCACCAAGGCGAUGAUCAGUAGCCGGUCUGAGAGGAUGAACGGCCACAUUGGGACUGAGACACGGCCCAGACUCCUACGGGAGGCAGCAGUGGGGAAUCUUCCGCAAUGGACGAAAGUCUGACGGAGCAACGCCGCGUGAGUGAUGACGGCCUUCGGGUUGGAAAGCUCUGUUAAUCGGGACGAAAGGCCUUCUUGCGAAUAGGGAGAAGGAUUGACGGUACCGGAAUAGAAAGCCACGGCUAACUACGUG
Molecule: ribosomal RNA, 510 nt
Filed under: uncultured bacterium
Lineage: Bacteria
Description: partial 16S ribosomal RNA
Rfam family: Bacterial small subunit ribosomal RNA
Source: RNAcentral